AGUUCCCGCUUCUGCAGCCGUAGGACCACGCGUGUUUGCAGAGGUGCCUCUUGUCAGAAAAAAAUCCGGAUUCUGUUGCACGGAAAGCAGACAUGGCCAAGACUAGGAUUGCAGUUGUUGGUGCUGGGUUGAUAGGUCUCUCCACUGCUGUGUGCAUUGCUGAAUCUAUUUCAAACUGCAGUGUGACUGUAGUUGCUGACAAAUUUACUCCCAACACAACAAGUGAUGUAGCAGCUGGGAUGCUUAUUCCACAUGCUCAUCCAGGCACACCAGUUCAUCAACAGAAGCAGUGGUUUAGAGAGACCUUUGAUCACCUGUCAGUAAUCUGUAAUUCCUCAGAGGCUUCAGAGGCUGGGAUUCAUUUGGUAUCUGGCUGGCAGAUUUUUAAAACCAUUCCUGAUGAGAAAACACCAUUCUGGUCCGAUGUGGUUCUAGGGUUUCGGUCAAUGACUGAAAAAGAACUGAAGAAAUUUCCACAGCACAAAUUUGGUCAGGCCUUUACAACACUGAAGUGUGACUGCCCACCUUAUUUGAUCUGGCUGGAAAAAAGGCUGAAAGAAAAUGGGAGCCAGGUGCAAGUCAGACACAUAGAAGAUCUCUGGGAACUGCACAGUGACUAUGACAUUGUAGUGAACUGCUCCGGCAUUGGCUCACGGAAGCUUGUAGGUGACCUAGAAAUAUACCCCAUCAGAGGUCAAGUUCUCAAGGUCCGUGCCCCUUGGGUCACGCACUUCAUUCGUGAUGGGGAUGGACUGACAUACAUCUAUCCAGGAGUGCAUAAUGUAACAUUAGGUGGAACAAGGCAGAAAGACAACUGGAAGCUGUCUCCAGAUCCCCAUACCAGUAAAAAUAUAUUUGGUCGAUGUUGUGCUCUUGAGCCGUCACUUCAGAAAGCGCAGGAUAUUAAGGUGAAGGUGGGCCUGAGGCCGACCAGGUCAACUGUGAGGCUGCAGAAAGAGAUACUGGUCCGAGGCAGUGAGAAGCUACAGGUGGUCCACAAUUAUGGGCAUGGUGGCGGUGGCUUCUCAGUGCAUCAGGGUACAGCCAGAGAGGCAACCCACCUGGUUAAGCAGUGCAUUGCAGCACUGGACCCAUCCAAGAAUAAGGCAAAGCUGUAACUCCUGUGUUGGAAACUCUUGCUCCCCCUCUCUCCUUCCCUCUCAUUUUUAAUCAUUAGUAAUACAGUUGGAUCAGAGUGCUCAUUUUGGAAUAAAAUCAGAAACAGGAGUGGAGAAUCUUUGCCCAGAAUCCCUCCAGAGGAAGAAACUGAGGAUGUAUCUUCUUCUGUACCCAGAGACUCAUGGGGAUGCCGCCUCCAGUUGUUUUGGACUAAAACUCCUAGUAAUCCUGAUCAUUGACUAUGCUGGUUGGACCUAUUUUUCAGACACAUUAUGACAAGAAACCCUGAAAGGUUACCACAGCUCAUGUUUGGCUACAGGGGCAGACUGCUGCCUGCCCCUGUGCUUCACCUGUGGGAGUAGCGGCCUUCCCCGUCCUCCCUUCUCCAGAGGUGUGCCCGACCAGCUACUUCUGCCGGACAAAGACCAAGACAGUGUGUGGAAGAGGGGUCCUAUUGCCAUGAGCCAGUACUGAAGACGGCGAUGCUUCUAUUAGUACAUAGUUUUCAUAAGCGUAUUUUACUUCUUAUUGGUAUAUACUUGUGCUGUUUGUGUGGAGUCUGCCUGCUUUAAGACCCGAGAAGGUACAUAUAAGACUGUGGCUGUGGAGAGCUUUCAGGGCCCCCAGGCCUUGGUGGGAGCGAUGUGCAUUGGGGUGCUGUUUGAGCAGGAAUUGCCCACCUAGGGGCAAGAGCUCAAGCUGGGUGGUUCCCACCUUUUAUAUGGAUACUGAUCCUUUUGAACAGACAGACUGUAUGUGGAGCUGUUAAUCUUUUAGUAUAUACCAUUUUAGAUUUUUGUGUGUAAUUUUACUGCUUGUUUUAACAAUUCUUGUGAUCUUUUAGUUAUGGUCCAGGAAAUAUGUUUAGGGGGGCAGCUAGUCAGGUUCUGUGGGGCAAUGGGCGAUAUGGUGCUGGCAGGGCAAAAUGCUCUUGCAGGAGAAGGAAAGAGUGUUGUCUUAAAACAAUCUCUCCUUCUGGUUGUCUUGCCAAACGGAUAAAUUGGAGAGCACUCUGAGCCACCCACCAUCCGUUUUACUGCUUCUUUGUAAUGUCAGGUCAACCCAUAAUAGAACUAUGAUCAUUCAUGAUCUGGUUAGACAUGAGGGGGUUUGCCCUGGCCUGUCUCACAGAGACCAGACUGGGAGAAGACAGAGGUCCCAUAUGGGCACAGACCCUCCCAACUGGCUAUUGUGUUGUGGAGCAGGAAAGGUAAAGCAGGCAAGGGGGCAGUGUGGCUGUGAUCCAUAAGGAUACCACCUCUUUGACCAAGUACCCUGUUAAGGAGCUGAAAUACAUCAAGUGUGUGUACUCAAGGUUGGGGUCCAGAGAUAGUCUGGGGAUUCUGCUGGCAUAUAGACCACCUCGUUGCCUAACACUGUCUCUGGCCAAACUCACAGAACUGGCCUCAGAACUGGUGUUGGAGUCCCCCAAAUUGUUAAUCCAGGGGGAUUUCAGUGCUGAUUGUGAGUUCAGUUUGUCUGGUGCUGCCCAUGAAUUCACAUCGGCUAUAGCAGCCAUGGGCCUGUCCCAGUUGGUCUCUAGACCCACACAAACCCCGGGGCACAAACUCAAUGCUACAUGCAGC
This is an RNA transcript of Varanus komodoensis (Komodo dragon), 2705 nucleotides long. It is a transcript of the gene named D-aspartate oxidase, with no coding region annotated. The record is from RefSeq and is a predicted model, not a curated record. The transcript has 6 exons. NCBI's taxonomy places the organism in Eukaryota, Metazoa, Chordata, Lepidosauria, Squamata, Varanidae.